This is a non-coding RNA of Pteropus alecto (black flying fox), 116 nucleotides long. Lineage: Eukaryota; Metazoa; Chordata; Mammalia; Chiroptera; Pteropodidae. The record is from Rfam.
GUCUACAACCCUGCCACCCUGAAUAAGCCCGAUGUCUGAUGCUGGAAGCUAAGCAGGCUUGGGCCUGGUUAGUACUUGGGUGGAAGACCACCUAGAAAGAUCAGGUGCUGUAGGCA